GGCGACAUGGCCAAGUGGUAAGGCAGAGGUCUGCAAAACCUUUAUUCUCCGGUUCAAAUCCGGAUGUCGCCU
RNAcentral lists this transfer RNA (72 nucleotides) under Deltaproteobacteria bacterium. RNAcentral describes it as "tRNA-Cys". It matches the Rfam family "tRNA". From Rfam's summary of the family: Transfer RNA (tRNA) molecules are approximately 80 nucleotides in length. RNAcentral also lists the same sequence under 1 other name. Lineage: Bacteria; Pseudomonadati; Myxococcota; Myxococcia. The record is from RNAcentral.